UACGGGGGGAGCAAGCGUUGUUCGGAUUUACUGGGCGUAAAGGGCGCGUAGGCGGCCAGCACAGGUCAGUUGUGAAAUCUCCGAGCUUAACUCGGAAAGGUCAACUGAUACUGCGCGGCUAGAGUGCGGAAGGGGCAACUGGAAUUCUCGGUGUAGCGGUGAAAUGCGUAGAUAUCGAGAGGAACACCUGCGGCGAAGGCGGGUUGCUGGGCCGACACUGACGCUGAGGCGCGAAAGCUAGGGGAGCGAACGGG
This 254-nucleotide ribosomal RNA is filed under the name uncultured bacterium. Its description in RNAcentral is "partial 16S ribosomal RNA". It matches the Rfam family "Bacterial small subunit ribosomal RNA", at positions 524 to 776 of the family's 1533-position model. The record is from RNAcentral.